AAAGACCUGGCCGCGAAUAACUAUGAGAGAUGUCGAUCACACCUGCACAAAGUCUGUUGCUGCAAUUGUUUUUCUACCUGUAUAAAACCUUUAAUGGAAAUGAUAAAGCCUACAUUAAUCCACCCUAACCAAAGUUUCUAUUUUUAUCUCUAAAGGGAGGGGUGGAUGCCAUAGCGACUGAGGCCAACAGGACAAGAUGACCUAAUCAGCUGGUGUCAAGCAUGUGAAGUCAUCGGGUAGUGGAAGGUAAUAUCAACUUCAAUCACACCGCCAGUCGCGAUCGCCGAGAAACAGGUUUGAAAUAUUUCUUCUCACAAAUGUGAGACUAUCUUUUUCUAGAUUACAAGAAUCUUCGAAACGAAAGAUCUUACAUUAUCAUGUCUAGUUGAAAAUGUGUCCUCCUUUCGUACAGUUUGUUCAGAUUAUUGUUUACUAAAUAAUAGCAACAUGCCGACACUGAUUCAAAAUGGCGGACCACCUUGCAGCUUCUGAUAAUGAUAUUACAAACUAAUUAUUUUUCUAAAACACAGAAAGCUAACACUUAAACCAGUUCUUAAAAGAAUUUCCAUCUAAUAUCCCUUACACAGUUUAACUACUUCAAUUUAGGAAUCUGUUUUCAUAUUUUUUGUGCCGAUCAAAUGAAGAAAUCGCGGUUGAACAGAAAGAUAAAAUAUAGUCUUGCUCAUGAAAUUUUACAACAGCUUAAAGUUAAACAAAUCUUUUGGCCUUUAUGAGACAGACAACAAUGCACGUAACAAUCUGCUAUUAUUGUUUCUUCACUUUAUGUUUUGAUUUUUGUAUCUCACCUGUUCAAAUCUCUAUUUGAGCCCGAAACCGUGUGUUAAAUUGUUUUGACUUUUGUUGCUUCUGAGUAUAACUUCAAUAAAAGUGUUAUUCACCACGCUGUUCUGUGCCAUUAUAUUUUUCCAGUUUAUUUAAAGGGUCUCAAAAAUUCUGCCGAGCCAAGUCAAUCACAAUCUCUGUAAUAUGCACACUACAUGGGAGAAAGCUAUCUGAAGUGGCCCCUACAAUAAAUGUUGAAGCGAUUUGGGUCCGCCUACCCUGGAGUGAUCCACGUAUAAAUAAUCGCUUUAGCCGCUACUUGCGGGUAGCAAAUAUACCCAGAUUAACAAGCUGUACAAACGUGCUUCAUGAAAGAAAAAGGUUUUUAAAAUUACUUCGAUGUUUAUAACCUGCAACUAUGUAAAAUUAGCAGUCAUGGGCCCUGUACUGACCGUGCAAGGUGCUAAUCAACAAGUCCAAUUUAUUACACGCUUGUACGGCUGUUGAGCCUUUCAGUUUGCAAACAGUUUAAAAUCAGAGGCACAUCUAAAAACUCUGCGGCUACAUACUAUGUUGCGUAGUUGAGCGUUCAACAGGUCGAAAACUUCGACAAUAAGAAAGCAGACGAAAGCAAAGAUAACCCCGUGACCUGACGGUGGUAGAGGAGCGAGGUGGUGAAAGACUGUCUUAUCUCAGGGUCACCUUUACUCAUUUCCCGUGGUACCUGUCUCAUAAACCUGUAGUACCCACCCCACAACUGUCACUAGGCUGUCCACUUUCUCCUAGCUACAAUCAGUAUAUUUACUAUAAACAGCUGGUCAAUGAUCAUCAAUGAUCAUCAAUCACCAUCAAUCGUCAUCGUCAUUAAUCAUCGUCAGCGUCAUUAGUACUGACCGUACUAAGAAGGCCUGUCAUUGGAGUCAAUCUUGAGCACCUCUUAAGUUGGUCCCCCAUCUGGCAUCAUGACCUGUCUCCCUCCAAUGUUUCCUUUCCUACUACCACGUCCUCUUUCCACCUACUCCUGUAAUACUGUCUUCGAUAAGUCAUGCCGAGCGACGUGGCCGAGCCAAACCCCCUUUCGACGCUUGAUGGUUGCGAGUAGAUGCUCCGGGAGGCCCACCAGAGUGGCGACCGCACAGCGUAUGAAAUAAUUUGUUUUGUAUUCCUUCAAACCAGUCUCAUGAAGGAUCCAGUUCACUAUUAAACCGACCUUCAACAGCCGAGUUCUCAUCGAAAAGCAACGGCAUCACGGGUAAGAUCUUAUUGUAGAAAUCGUGUUUAAAAGUAUAAAUAAAAGACCGUCCUUGGCAACAAAGGUGCAUGUGUAUGAAUUGAUGGCUCACCAUGGCGUUGAACACCGUACGAAGACUUUGAAGAAUAAUAUUUGACAAAAUGUCGUGUCGCUCCCGAUGACAUGGCCAGACCAGACCAGUUUCACUGUUGAAAGUAGUUUCUGGUGUCCUACGAGUGUAGCGUCCGUGCUUCGUACAAAAUCGUUGGUUUGAUAUUCUCUGUACGAGAGAUACGGAGCAGCCUCCUCUUGCACUUGUUCUCGAGUGUCUGAAUUCUCCGCCUUGGCAAUCAACAUCCACAUUUCACAUCUGUAAAGCAGUAUCGAAACUGUGAGCGAAAGGAAGAACGAGAACUGCGGGCUUACACACUUCCUUUCCUUCAAAUAAAGCCGAAAGUUUAAAUCCCUUGGAAACAUCUUUCAUCACAAUCACGGCCUGUGACGGAUUUGAAAAUAACCAAACGUUACCAAACAACGAUGAAGAAUUUUCGACAGUUCAUCGGAAUUUGCGGAUUCAAGAUGCUUUUGGCUUUUCUAGGACUCCUGACUGUGUUGUACCUACUGACUUACAGCUCAACAAACAUCCUGAAGUUUCGUCAACUGAUCUCAACAGUCUGGUCACAACGCACUUCAGACCAAAACGUUACAACAGCUUACUACUUACUUCAGUGGCAGUCAAAUUAUACACUAAAACAUUCUAGCACUAACUCCACGUUUAAGUACAAUGGGACAGCUACUCAAAGACCGUGUUGCCGAGAACAUUCUUCAACAACAUAUUACCUACGUCACUUCCGAUCGAGAUUUAUAGUUGAUCCUACCAGCCAUCAACUGACGCUUGAUCAAAGGAACCUCCCUGAUUUAUCCUUCUCUAAAGUAAGGACUGACAGUAGAGCCUCUGCUGUUAACAAUAAGUUGAUUGUAUGGUAUAACAUGCCUGAGUGGAUGAAAAGAAGGUCGAAUGCUGAGGUGUUUGACCACUGUCCAGUCAGCACGUGCAAGUUGUCCACAAACUAUAGUGCGGAUAGAGCCGUUGGCGACGCUGUGGUGUUUCACGACGCUCCAUCACACAAGCCAGUGCCACCUCGAGCUUUUCCUGACCAGGUGUACGUCUUCUUCAUGUUAGAACCGCCGCCGAUUGCUGGAUCUGCGUAUCGAAACACACCGUGGAACUCAGUUUUCAAUUGGACAUGGACCUACAGGAAGGAUGCCGAUAUAAAGAAGACAUACUUCCUUCUGGAGCGUUCUCGACAGUUGCCAAAUAUUAGUUUCCUAAAAGAUUUAGUUCGAAGGAAGGAAAAGCCUGCAGCAUGGUUUGUUUCUAACUGCCAUCAGGACCAAGCCCAACGACUACGCUACGUUGAGAGACUGAAGGAAGUUCUCCCUGUGGACGUAUAUGGACGAUGUGGGACUCUGCACUGCACAACCUGGGCUAAAGAAUGCGACACCAUGCUUACCAAGUACUUUUUCUAUCUUUCCUUCGAGAACUCCUUUUUCCAGGAUUACGUGACAGAGAAGUUUUCUCGAGCCUUCUUGAAGGAUGUGUACGUGGUUCCUGUUGCGCGCGGUGGGCUGAACUACUCUCACCACUUUCCUGAAGGAACUUUUAUUAACGCCGAUGAUUUUAACAGCCCAGAAGAACUGGGGAUGUAUCUGAAAAAGCUUAUGAUGGACGAAGACGCCUACAUUGACAUGUUGUGGCGAAUCGCUCAUUUUAUCAUCGAAUCUUACGAUGAUCCUGCCCAGUUCUCGUGGUGCCAGCUGUGUGACAAGCUACACAGGCUGCAGGACAAUGCCAAGACGUAUCCAGACCUCUUUGAAUGGUACCACAGUGGUAAAUGCCGACCGCCAAGGCAAUUCUAGCGAUUACAUGAUCGAACAGUGUGUGGCAUGUGUGAAUGAACGAGCGACGUGGACUCUACUGCUUAUUUCAUUCGUUUAGACAACUGGUCAGAGUCAACAGGCAGCUAAACUACUCGACCUUUUCAUCGUCAAGUGACGUCUCGACCAAAGCAAACAGAUGACAGACAGAAAUGCCAUCGUUGACAGAUAUUAAUGCUAAUAAAUUAGUCGCUAGUAUCAUUAUUUUUACUUUUAAUUAACUGGUCUUCACAUCGGACGUUGUUAAUGUCCUUUCGAGUUUGUUAGUGGUUUGGUGAUAUUUUCUAUAUUCAAGACUGCAGUUUCGGAAAUACAACUGUUGGUACACAAGCAACAACGAAGCUGAACCCUCCGACGCCAUUUUACUCAUGACGUAAAACUUGAAUGACGACAGAUGGGUACAAUAAUAGCCAAAGGAAACAGAAAGUUCUCGAAAGAUCAGUCGAUGUGCAGCAAGAGAGGGAGAAAGAGGGAGAGGUCUGCGCCAGCAACUUGAUUUCAUCACAAGCACGAUCUGCGAAGGGUUUGAAAAAAAAUUGUUUACCUAACAACAGCGAUGGUGAAUCUUCGCAAGUUCACCAGAACUCGGAGACACAAGAUGUGUUUGGUUUUUCUGGUACUCCUGAUUGCGUUGUACGUGGUGACUCUAAUCAUCCUGAUAUUUAGUCCAAUGCCCAUGAUAAUCGCACCACAACACAGCCACAGUUCAUCGACAACACAUUACUUACGUAACUUCCGCUCGAUAUUUAUACUUGAUGUUGCAAAUCAUGACCUGGCGCUUGAUCGUCAAGGGAAGCCCCUUAGUAUAUCCUCCUCUGACGUAAGGAAUCACAGUAGAGCCUCUGUUGUUAACAAUAAAUUGAUUGUAUGGUACAACAUGCCUGAGUGGAUUAAGAGAGGGUCGGAUGCUGAGUUGUUUGGCCACUGUCCAGUCAGCACGUGCAACUUGUCCACAAACUAUAGUGCGGAUAGAGCAGCUGCCGACGCUGUGGUGUAUUACUGCGCUCCAUUACAGAAACCAGUGCCACCUCGAGCUUUUCCUGACCAGGUGUAUGUGUACUUCAUGUUAGAACCGCCGCCGAAACUUUGGUUUCCGAGGCCAAAAAUAUCAUGGAGUUCAGCUUUCAACUGGACAUGGGGUUACAGGCAUGACGCAGAUAUAAGAACGACAUACUUUUAUCUGGAACAUUCCAAGCAGUUGCCAAAUAUUAGUUUCCUAAAAGAUUUAGUUCAAAAGAAGGAAAAGCCUGCGGCAUGGUUUGUUUCUAACUGCCAUGAGGACCAAGCCCAACGACUACGUUAUGUUGAGAGACUGAAGGAAGUUCUCCCUGUGGACGUAUAUGGAGCGUGUGGGACUCUGCACUGCACAACCUUGGCUAAAGAAUGCGACACCAUGCUUACCAAGUACUUUUUCUAUCUUUCCUUCGAGAACUCUUUUUGCCAGGAUUACGUGACAGAGAAGUUUUCUCGAGCCUUCUUGAAGGAUGUGUACGUGGUUCCUGUUGUGCGCGGUGGGCUGAACUACUCUCACCACUUUCCUCAAGGAAUUUUUAUCAACGCCGAUGACUUUAGCAGCCCAGAAGAACUGGGGAUGUAUCUGAAAAAAGCUGAUGAACGACGAAGACGCCUACAUUGAAAUGUUUGUGGCGAAUCGCUCACUUUGUCGACUUGGACUCUUACAAAAACCCAUACUACUACUCGUGGUGCCAUCUGUGUGACAAGCUACACAGGCUGCAGGACAAUGCCAAGACUUAUCCAGACGUCUAUGGAUGGUACCACAUUGGGAUGUGCCGACCGCCAAGGAAAUUCUAGAGCUUGGUACAGUUCGUGGCCUACACUGGUUAUCGUGCGAUGUGGUCACAACUUUUUUCUUUUAUUCGUUCAGACGGCUGAACAGGCAGAUGUACAACUCGACCUUUUCAUCAAAUAUAAAUAACAAAUGGGCAAAAGCAAGGCGCAAUAUCUUUUUUCUAUUUCUUUACAAGCUGCACUCAUUACCAGCAUUUCAAAUAGGAAAGAAAAAUGAUGUUGCCAUUGAUCAAAGGGAAAAAACUCAAGAAAUAACGAUUCAUCGCGACAACCGCCAAUUUACUUCCCUUGGAAUAUGAAGCGAGCAUUACCGUCUACUUUGCUUAAUCACAUUUUUUGCUAUGAAACCGUCUUAAAUUUUUUUUUUUUAUUUUAACGAAUUUCCCUACUUGUGGCCUCAAACUGUUUUAAGAAAGUACUUUUACUUGCUUUAAGGCUAUCGAAAUUAGCAAUCAUUGAUACACUUCUCUUGAAGAUGACAAAGAAUAUAAAAUAAAAGAAAUUGAAGUGUCA
Molecule: RNA transcript, 6274 nt
Organism: Pomacea canaliculata
Lineage: Eukaryota; Metazoa; Mollusca; Gastropoda; Architaenioglossa; Ampullariidae
Gene name: alpha-(1,3)-fucosyltransferase C-like
Exons: 6
Source: RefSeq, a predicted model, not a curated record